UUUUGACUCUUUUUCUACUCAAAUUUUUCGAGCAUUUUAUAGGUGUUAGAGUCUUAAGUCUCGGCAAAUGCAUUUUUCUCUUUUGUUUUUCUUUUCUCUUUUUAUUUUUUUUAUUUUUUUUUAUUUUAAAGAACAUACAUACUAUUUUUCUUUUUGUAUGCUCUCUUAUUAUGCACUUGCCUUCUCUUUCAAGAUUUCCACCCCAAACUUAGUUUUAUUGCACAUCUUGCAAUUCACACAAUCAUACCGAGUUAUGGAAAAAAAAGAAUGAAUGAUUAAAAGUUAACAGGGGGUUUAUGAUGAAUAAUGCUUAAUAGUUAACAAGGGGUUUAUGAUGAAUAAAAUGGCUAAGGCUCAACGGGGUUCACGAAGGGAAACAUACAUAUAGGGAUGGUUAGAAAGGCCCUGGCUAAACAAAC
Molecule: long non-coding RNA, 419 nt
Filed under: Lathyrus oleraceus (garden pea)
Lineage: Eukaryota; Viridiplantae; Streptophyta; Magnoliopsida; Fabales; Fabaceae
Description: Pisum sativum (pea) long non-coding RNA (PSAT_LNC011923)
Source: RNAcentral